This 442-nucleotide ribosomal RNA is filed under the name uncultured bacterium. Its description in RNAcentral is "partial 16S ribosomal RNA". It matches the Rfam family "Bacterial small subunit ribosomal RNA", at positions 338 to 795 of the family's 1533-position model. The record is from RNAcentral.
CCUACGGGUGGCAGCAGUGGGGAAUAUUGGGCAAUGGGCGCAAGCCUGACCCAGCAACGCCGCGUGAAGGAAGAAGGCUUUCGGGUUGUAAACUUCUUUUCAUAGGGAAGAGCAGAAGACGAUACCUCUUGAAUAAGCCCCGGCUCACUACGUGCCAGCAGCCGCGGUAAUACGUGGGUGGCAAGCGUUGUUCGGUGUUACUGGGUGUAAAGGGCGUGCAGCCGGGAAGACAAGUCAGAUGUGAAAUCCCGCGGCUGAACCGCGGAACUACAUGUGAAACUGUUUUUCUUGAGUACCGGAGAGGUCAUCGGAAGUCCUUGUGUAGCGGUGAAAUGCGUAGAUAUAAGGAAGAACACCAGUGGCGAAGGCGGAUGACUGGACGGCAACUGACGGUGAGGCGCGAAAGCGUGGGGAGCAAACAGGAUUAGAUACCCUAGUAGUC